Molecule: long non-coding RNA, 5703 nt
Organism: Anolis carolinensis (green anole)
Lineage: Eukaryota; Metazoa; Chordata; Lepidosauria; Squamata; Anolidae
Exons: 2
Source: RefSeq, a predicted model, not a curated record
UCCAGCUUGGUGUAAACCUUGGCUCCUCGAAGCCGAUCCAGUAGAUCCGAGAUUAAGGGCAGGGGAUAGCUGUUCCGCUUGGUGAUAUUGUUCAAUGCUCUGUAGUCCACCACCAAGCGUAGUUCCCCUGACUUCUUCUUCACAAACAUCACUGGGGAGGCGGCUGGGGAUUGAGAGGGUCUAAUGAAUCCCUUACGAAGGUUUGUCUCUAUGAAUUCCCUGAGAGCUUCUUGCUCUGGUUCAGUCAGGGAGUAUAGGUGCCCUCGCGGGAUCGGGGCCCCCUCCACCAGGUCAAUGGCACAGUCAUAAGGUCUAUGUGGGGGUAAUUUCUCGGCUUCUUUUUCAUUGAAUACAUCCCAAUACUCGGAGUACUUCUUGGGCAGGGUGAUGAUGGGCUCGGUGUCUGUGGCAUGGCAGACCUUGGCUACAAGGCAAUGGUUUUGGCAGUACUGUGAAGCAAACUGCAGUUCUCUGUUGGACCAGGAGAUGCUUGGGUCGUGGAGAGUCAGCCAUGGAAUCCCCAAAAUCACAGGGAAAUGGGGAACCUCGGUAACAAAGAAAGAAAUCUCUUCCAUAUGUUCCCUUAUCCACAUCCUGGUGGGUUCCGACCACUGACUUACGGGGCCCGUCUUGAGGGGGCGGCCGUCUAUGGCUUGUACCACACGGGCAUUCUUGAAAUCAUGAUAUUGUAAUCCCAGAGAGUCGGCAUACUCUCUAUCAAUGAAAUUGUUGGUGGCUCCGGAGUCUAUCAUGGCGUGGAUCAUGACGGGUCCCCUUUUUGCUGACCAUAAGGUAACCACGAGAAGGAACAGGACCCCGGUUGGCGGCUCUUGAACGGGUUUUUUGACCGGGUUGGCGAGCCUCUCUACGCCCGGUCGUUGGCUUCCCCCGCCGGCUGUGUGUCAGCCGGCUCAGACGCCUUCGUCUCCGUGGAGGACGCCGCCGCAAGACGGGCGGCGGGCUUCCCUUUGGCUGGGCACUCUCUGGCGAAGUGGCCCCCGUUCCCGCAGUACCAACAGAGGUUUAAGCGUUGACGACGGGCCUUCUCGGCGGCAUCUAAUCUGGGACGCACGUUGCCCAACUGCAUCGGCACCUCCUCGCUUCCUCUGGGGUAUGGGGUUGGUGGUGGGGGUCUCCACACUGGACGUGGCUGAACGCUGGCGGGAGCGGGGGGUUUUGCCCCAGCUCUACCGCUCUGGCCUCGAACCCACUGUUUCCUGUUGGCAAUCAUGACUUCAGCCCGUAAACAUUGAUCAAUGAGUGCUUCGAGGGUCUGGGGAGGAUCCACCUUGGAGAUUUCCUCCAGCAUUUCGAUGUUGAGACCCUCCCGGAAUUGUCCCCUGAGGGCUACAUCAUUCCAGCCGGUGUUAUGGGCCAGCACUCGGAACUCGGCUAUGUACUGAGACAUAGGUCUGUCUCCUUGGAAGAGGCGAAGGAGUUUGUGACCGGCUGCCUCCAAAUUGUCCUCGAUUCCCCAAGUCUCCUUAAGGUGGUCCAAGAAGCGUUGCGCGGACCUUAGGUGUGGAGAGGCUUGGUCGAACAGUGCCGUCGCCCAGUUGGCCGCUGGCCCGUCUAGAAGACUGUAAACCCAUGCCACCUUGAUGUCUUCUUGGGGAAAUUCGGCAGCACGGGCCUCUAGAUAAGCUUGGCAUUGGCGACGGAAAACAUGAACCUUAGAUGCUUCUCCAGUAAACUUGGUUGGCAACGCCAUGGCCGGUAGACGGAUUCCGCGUUCCUUCAAACCUUUUAUUUCUCCAUCCUGGGCAUUAAGCUUAUCACGGAUUCGAUCCACCUCAUCUUUGUCGAUGGUGUAGGUAAUCGGCUGGCCGCUCGGCCCAGGUACGGUUCCGGUAGACAUUCUGGCCGAGGUUAAUUGGUGCUUAGGGUGGCGGAGUCAAACUGUCAGGACCCAGGCUACAGAGCACCAAUAACCAUACGCAGAGGCCAGAUUCAAUCUAAUAUCUUUAUUAAGGAAAUAUAUAAGAUUAAUAAAAAUAAAUGUAAAAGUUAGUUCAGAAGCAGACCUUUCAGGAAAGGUCAAAAUUAGUCCAAAAAAGCAAUGUCCAAUAUGAAAUAUUAUGAUCCAAAGUUGUAAUCCAAUAACCGAAACACUCACUUUGCCAGGCAAAGUGAGGGGAGAUGACAAGGUCCUUUAGUCCAUAAACUUGAGCAAGGCUAGGAAAUAACUUGAUACUUGAAGCAAGGCUUAAAACGUGGAACAAGGUAACAAGGAACAAGAACAAGGUCCGUGGAAUAACUUGGUAAAAUCCGUGAUACAAGGCAAGGUAUAGUCCCGGGAAACAAGCAAGGUCCGUAGGUAAACAAAGGCUGGAAACUGGAGCGAAGGCUGGAAGGCAGGCAAAGGCUUGAGCAGGAACGAGGCUUGAAACGGAGCGCGCUGUCCAGACACAACUCGCUCCGGAGGCUGACGAAUUGACUCCGCGAAGUUACUACGCGGGUAAAACACCUAUAUAGAGUCUAACUUUCCCGCCGAAGCAGUUCUCUGGGAACCAGAAACGAAAGCUAAACUCUGAGACCAGAUGUCUGACUCCUUAAAGAUUCUCACGAAAAGCAAACUUAAUUGGGUACAUUCCUAGCUGCUAUCCUCGCACUCCUGCGCGAAGCUGCUUCCAAACCCCUCUGUUGUUUACAAAACUCAUGGCGAGAGAACACGGGAGAUGUAGGCUCAGGGUUUGUUUGACAUACUUCUGGGACACAACUUUCUUGCAGGUGCAAGGUUCCCAGAUCUGCCUGGGAAAGAUCUGGCUGAGAAGAUUCCAGUUCUGACUGGGAAGGUAAAAAACCCAAGUUUUCUUCCUCAUCAGGGAUGACAAUGUCCUGAGCAGGACUACAAGGCCCAUGGGUCAUCACAAUAGGAUAGAUAAAUGAUAGGAAGGUAGGUUGAUAGAUGAUGGCUGGAUGGAUAGAUAAAUAUAGUAGAUAAAUAAAAGGUAGGCAGGUAAGUUGAUAGAUGAUGGCUGGAUCGAUAGGUAGGUAGAUAAGUAGAUAGAUAAUUAGAUAGUUGGUUGGAUAGAUAGAUAGAUAGAUAGAUAGAUGGAUAGAUAGAUUAAUACAUUAGGCUGAUAGGUUGGUUGGUUGGAUAGAUAGAUAGAUACAUACAUACAUACAUUAAUACAUUAGACAGGCUGGUAGGUUGGUUGGAUGGAUGGAUGUAUGAUAGAUAGAUAGAUAGAUAGAUAGAUAGAUAGAUAGAUAGAUAGAUAGAUAGAUAGAUAGGUAGGUAGAUAGGUAGAUAAUUAGGGAAGGUGGGUAACAGGAUAGAUAGGUAGUUAGGUUGAUAGAUGAUGGCUGGACAGAUAGAUAGAUAGAUAGAUAGAUAGAUAGAUAGAUAGAUAGAUAGAUAGAAUAAAUAAAUAAAUGAUAGGAAGGUAGGUUGAUAGAUGAUGGCUGGAUAGAUAAAUAAAUAGAGUAGAUAAAUAAAAGGAUAGAUAGGCAAGUAAGUUGAUAGAUGAUGGCUGGAUAGAUAGGUAGAUAGAUAGAUUAGACAUAUUGGUUGGUUGGUUGGUUGUUGGAUGGAUGGUUGGUUGUUGGAUGGAUAGAUAGAUAGAUAGAUAGAUAGAUAGAUAGAUAGAUAGAUAGAUAGAUAGAUAGAUAGAUAGAUAAUUAGGGAAGGUGGGUAACAGGAUAGAUAAGUAGUUAGGUUGAUGAUGGCUGGCUGGCUGGCUAGAUAGAUAGAUAGAUAGAUAGAUAGAUAGAUAGAUAGAUAGGAUAAAUAAAUGAUAGGAAGGUAGGUUGAUAGAUGAUGGCUGGAUAGAUAAAUAGUUAGAGUAGAUAAAUAAAAGGAUAGGUAGGCAGGUAAGUUGAUAGAUGAUGGCUGGAUAGAUAGGUAGAUAGAUUAGACAUGUUGGUUGGUGGGUUGGUUGGUUGGAUGGAUGGAUGGAUGGAUGGAUGGAUGGAUGGAUAGAUAGAUAGAUAGAUAGAUAGAUAGAUAGAUAGAUAGAUAGAUAGAUAGAUAGAUAAGAUAGAUAAUUAGGGAAGGUGGUAACAGGAUAGAUAAGUAGUUAGGUUGAUAGAUGAUGGCUGGCUGGCUGGCUGGCUAGAUAGAUAGAUAGAUAGAUAGAUAGAUAGAUAGAUAGAUAGAUAGAUAGAAUAUAAAUGAUAGGAAGGUAGGUUGAUAGAUGAUGGCUGGAUAGAUAAAUAAAUAGAUAGAGUAGAUAAAUAAAAGGAUAGGUAGGCAGGUAAGUUGAUAGAUGAUGGCUAGAUAGAUAGAUAGAUAGAUAGAUAGAUAGAUAGAUAGAUAGAUAGAUAAGACAUGUUGGUUGGAUAGAGAGAGAGAGAGAUAGAUUAAUGCAUUAGACAGGCUGGUUGGUUGGUUGGAUAGAUAGAUAGAUAGAUAGAUAGAUAGAUAGAUAGAUAGAUAGAUAGAUAGAUAGAGAGAUUAAUACAUUAGACAGACUGGUUGGUUGGUUGGUUGGUUGGUUGGUUGGUUGGAUGGAUGGAUGGAUGGAUAGAUAGAUAGAUAGAUAGAUAGAUAGAUAGAUAGAUAGAUAGAUAGAUAGAUAGAUAGAUAGAUAAUUAGGGAAGGUGGGUAACAGGAUAGAUAAGUAGUUAGGUUGAUAGAUGAUGGCUGGAUGGAUGGAUGGAUAGAUAGAUAGAUAGAUAGAUAGAUAGAUAGAUAGAUAGAUAGAUAGAUAGGAUAGAUAAAUGAUAGGAAGGUAGGUUGAUAGAUGAUGGCUGGAUGGAUAGAUAAAUAUAGUAGAUAAAUAAAAGGUAGGCAGGUAAGUUGAUAGAUGAUGGCUGGAUCGAUAGGUAGGUAGAUAAGUAGAUAGACAGAUAAUUAGAUAGUUGGUUGGAUAGAUAGAUAGAUAGAUAGAUAGAUAGAUAGAUUAAUACAUUAGGCUGAUAGGUUGGUUGGUUGGAUAGAUAGAUAGAUACAUACAUACAUACAUUAAUACAUUAGACAGGCUGGUAGGUUGGUUGGAUGGAUGGAUGUAUGAUAGAUAGGUAGAUAGAUAGAUAGGUAGAUAAUUAGGGAAGGUGGGUAACAGGAUAGAUAGGUAGUUAGGUUGAUAGAUGAUGGCUGGACAGAUAGAUAGAUAGAUAGAUAGAUAGAUAGAUAGAUAGAUAGAUAGAUAGAUAGAUAGAUAGAUAGAAUAAAUAAAUAAAUGAUAGGAAGGUAGGUUGAUAGAUGAUGGCUGGAUAGAUAAAUAAAUAGAGUAGAUAAAUAAAAGGAUAGAUAGGCAAGUAAGUUGAUAGAUGAUGGCUGGAUAGAUAGGUAGAUAGAUAGAUUAGACAUGUUGGUUGGUUGGUUGUUGGAUGGAUGGUUGGUUGUUGGAUGGAUGGAUAGAUAGAUAGAUAGAUAGAUAGAUAGAUAGAUAGAUAGAUAGAUAGAUAGAUAGAUAAUUAGGGAAGGUGGGUAACAGGAUAGAUAAGUAGUUAGGUUGAUGAUGGCUGGCUGGCUGGCUGGCUGGCUAGAUAGAUAGAUAGAUAGAUAGAUAGAUAGAUAGAUAGAUAGAUAGAUAGGAUAAAUAAAUGAUAGGAAGGUAGGUUGAUAGAUGAUGGCUGGAUAGAUAAAUAGUUAGAGUAGAUAAAUAAAAGGAUAGGUAGGCAGGUAAGUUGAUAGAUGAUGGCUGGAUAGAUAGAUAGAUAGAUAGAUAGAUAGAUAGAUAGAUAAGACAUGUUGGUUGGAUAGAGAGAGAGAGAGAUAGAUUAAUGCAUUAGACAGGCUGGUUGGUUGGAUAG